This 255-nucleotide ribosomal RNA is filed under the name uncultured bacterium. RNAcentral describes it as "partial 16S ribosomal RNA". It matches the Rfam family "Bacterial small subunit ribosomal RNA", at positions 99 to 354 of the family's 1533-position model. The record is from RNAcentral.
CGGACGGGUGAGUAAUGCGUGGAAAACCUGCCGUAUACUGGGGGAUAACACUUAGAAAUAGGUGCUAAUACCGCAUAAGCGCACAGCUUCGCAUGAAGUGGUGUGAAAAACUCUGGUGGUAUACGAUGGUUCCGCGUCUGAUUAGCUUGUUGGUGGGGUAAUGGCUCACCAAGGCGACGAUCAGUAGCCGGCCUGAGAGGGUGAACGGCCACAUUGGGACUGAGACACGGCCCAAACUCCUACGGGAGGCAGCAG